GAACGAACUUCCGUUAAUUGAUUAUGACGUACUUGUACUGAUUGAGAUUUUAACACGAAGUGAGUGGCGAACGGGUGAGUAACACGUGGGUAACCUGCCCAGAAGUAGGGGAUAACACCUGGAAACAGAUGCUAAUACCGUAUAACAGAGAAAACCGCAUGGUUUUCUUUUAAAAGAUGGCUCUGCUAUCACUUCUGGAUGGACCCGCGGCGUAUUAGCUAGUUGGUGAGGUAAAGGCUCACCAAGGCAGUGAUACGUAGCCGACCUGAGAGGGUAAUCGGCCACAUUGGGACUGAGACACGGCCCAGACUCCUACGGGAGGCAGCAGUAGGGAAUCUUCCACAAUGGACGCAAGUCUGAUGGAGCAACGCCGCGUGAGUGAAGAAGGGUUUCGGCUCGUAAAGCUCUGUUGUUAAAGAAGAACGUGGGUAAGAGUAACUGUUUACCCAGUGACGGUAUUUAACCAGAAAGCCACGGCUAACUACGUGCCAGCAGCCGCGGUAAUACGUAGGUGGCAAGCGUUAUCCGGAUUUAUUGGGCGUAAAGCGAGCGCAGGCGGUCUUUUAAGUCUAAUGUGAAAGCCUUCGGCUCAACCGAAGAAGUGCAUUGGAAACUGGGAGACUUGAGUGCAGAAGAGGACAGUGGAACUCCAUGUGUAGCGGUGAAAUGCGUAGAUAUAUGGAAGAACACCAGUGGCGAAGGCGGCUGUCUGGUCUGCAACUGACGCUGAGGCUCGAAAGCAUGGGUAGCGAACAGGAUUAGAUACCCUGGUAGUCCAUGCCGUAAACGAUGAUUACUAAGUGUUGGAGGGUUUCCGCCCUUCAGUGCUGCAGCUAACGCAUUAAGUAAUCCGCCUGGGGAGUACGACCGCAAGGUUGAAACUCAAAAGAAUUGACGGGGGCCCGCACAAGCGGUGGAGCAUGUGGUUUAAUUCGAAGCUACGCGAAGAACCUUACCAGGUCUUGACAUCUUCUGACAGUCUAAGAGAUUAGAGGUUCCCUUCGGGGACAGAAUGACAGGUGGUGCAUGGUUGUCGUCAGCUCGUGUCGUGAGAUGUUGGGUUAAGUCCCGCAACGAGCGCAACCCUUAUUACUAGUUGCCAGCAUUAAGUUGGGCACUCUAGUGAGACUGCCGGUGACAAACCGGAGGAAGGUGGGGACGACGUCAAAUCAUCAUGCCCCUUAUGACCUGGGCUACACACGUGCUACAAUGGAUGGUACAACGAGUCGCGAGACCGCGAGGUUAAGCUAAUCUCUUAAAACCAUUCUCAGUUCGGACUGUAGGCUGCAACUCGCCUACACGAAGUCGGAAUCGCUAGUAAUCGCGGAUCAGCAUGCCGCGGUGAAUACGUUCCCGGGCCUUGUACACACCGCCCGUCACACCAUGAGAGUUUGUAACACCCAAAGCCGGUGGGGUAACCUUUAGGA
RNAcentral lists this ribosomal RNA (1427 nucleotides) under Pediococcus acidilactici. Its description in RNAcentral is "bacterial SSU rRNA". It matches the Rfam family "Bacterial small subunit ribosomal RNA". The record is from RNAcentral. Lineage: Bacteria; Bacillati; Bacillota; Bacilli; Lactobacillales; Lactobacillaceae.